RNAcentral lists this ribosomal RNA (500 nucleotides) under uncultured bacterium. RNAcentral's name for it is "partial 16S ribosomal RNA". It matches the Rfam family "Bacterial small subunit ribosomal RNA", at positions 30 to 523 of the family's 1533-position model. The record is from RNAcentral.
AUUGAACGCUGGCGGAAUGCUUUACACAUGCAAGUCGAACGGCAGCACGGACUUCGGUCUGGUGGCGAGUGGCGAACGGGUGAGUAAUGUAUCGGAACGUGCCCAGUCGUGGGGGAUAACGUAGUGAAAAUUACGCUAAUACCGCAUACGAUCUAUGGAUGAAAGCGGGGGAUCGCAAGACCUCGCGCGAUUGGAGCGGCUGAUAUCAGAUUAGGUAGUUGGUGGGGUAAAGGCCCACCAAGCCAACGAUCUGUAGCUGGUCUGAGAGGACGACCAGCCACACUGGAACUAGAACACGGACCAGACUCCUACGGGAGGCAGAAGUGGGGAAUUUUGGGCAAUGGGCGAAAGCCUGAUUCAGCCAUUCCGCGUGCAGGAUGAAGGCCCUCGGGUUGUAAACUGCUUUUGUACAGAACGAAAAGGUUUCUACUAAUACUAGGAGCUCAUGACGGUACUGUAAGAAUAAGCACCGGCUAACUACGUGCCAGCAGCCGCCGUAA